GCGGCCGCCUCUCCACGCCCUGCCCCGGGCCGCCCGCCAGGCCGCCGUUUCCCGGAGCCGGCCCCCUCCCGCCCUCGCGGCCGGCUGAUGUCAUCUGCACACAACUUUCCGCUUCCCGGCCCGUCUCGGGGCCCUGAGUCAUCGCCGCCCCCGGCCCCGACGCUGGCCUGCGGCGUCUGUUUGUGCAGAGCGAGGCCCCGCCGGCCGGGCUUGACGUCAGGCUGGCAGGGCCUGGAACGGCCCCGCAUCGCGGCCCCCUGGGGGCAGGACGACACCGCUGGGGGCCGAGGGCAGGGCACGCCUUCGGAAUCCGGCUUCGAAGCCGGCCGCCUGACCUGGGGCAAGUGCUUUCAACUCUCUGAACUUCGGUUCCUCAUCUGCCAGUUGGCAGACGCUCAGCAAAUCUUCCUAGACUCACGGGGCGAAUUGUACAGUUGGGUAAAUCGAGGCCCAGAGAUGGCAAAAGGACCGUCCAAGGUCGUACAGCCACCCGGAAUUACAAUUCUUUUCUGCCGGGUCACACGCUGUCAUCCACGUGUUACCUAAGAGAGCUUUCCAGCCUGUGCUAAGAAAACUGCCCCACAUCAUCUGCAGUAGGACGGGGGAGUUGGAGCCCUGGUCAGGCCACUCUGCUACUGACCACAGUUUUCUCAUCUCUAAAAAGGCGCAGUAACAAUAUAAUUACCGUAUGCAGUCCCCCAGGAUACAGGGUCAAAGGAGAGCACAACCAUCGCAGUUGGAAGCCCAUGGGGCAGGGCCCAGGACACAGUGAGCAUACAAUAGACAUUAGCUGCUGUGGUGUCUUGAUUUCAAGCCCAGUGCAGAUGCAUCUGACUUACGAAACUUCAGUGACACCUGCUCUGUGCCAGACACUGAAGAUGGAGCAGUGAACAGCACUGACCCAGCCUGUCCUCCUGUUGCCUGCAGGCCAGAAGCAAGGUCUCGCUGUGUUACCCUGGCUGGAGUGCAGUGGCUACUUACAGGCAUGAUCAUAGCAUACUGCAGCCUCGAACUCCUGGACUAGAGCAGUUCUCCUGCCUCAGCCUCCAGAGCAGCUGGGACUGCAGACACGCACCACAGAGCCCAGCCUGAGUCAUUUUGAUUCUGUAACUGGCUUCCUCUCGGCGGGCAGGCUCACACCCUCCACCCCCAGCUGGAGAUGGAAGGAGGAUGCUCACCGCCCAUUCCUCAUGCAGGCCAUCGAUGGAAAUGUCAGACAGUGCGAGUCCACGCCUGAACACUUCUGGGGUCCGCUCUGGGACUGACACUGGCAGAUCCAUCGUGGCACCCGAGCUCUGUGAGGGCAAGACUUUGUUCGGUUGUGGGCUAUGCCCCCAACCCCUCGGACAGUGCCUGCACAGGUGGACAUUUUUGUUGGAUGAAGGAUUUUCUGUUAAAUGUGUCUGGCACACACAGAAAAACAAAGCCCAGCAGGUACGAUGGUGAUUAUUAUUGUUACUGGUGGCGCUCUAUUAUUGUUAUUAGUGUCUGUUGAAAAAGACCCUGAGCUAUACCAGCCCUUGGUUCUCCAGCCUGUGAAAUGGGCAUCCUGGGCACUGAGGCACUAGCCUUGGGAAGCUGAUAGGGGGUCCCUGCAGGAGAGACAAAGAACACUGCCCACCCCCCCGGGGGAGCCUGCGCCCCUCACCGGAAAGAGAAGCAGGGGGGAGCAGAGGGAGCUUGCAGCCCCACACGCAGGGCUGCCAGAAGGCCAUACAUAAUUCAUUGCCAAAUGGGGCUGCGGGCGGCUCUCCGCGGCGUGCGCUGGGGGCUCACUCUGCGCCUGGCACUUCGCUGACUGCGCCUCACACGUUGCCUCAUUGCAUCUUCAUGGAUUUGCAGGGUGUGACCCUUCCCCCUGUUUUACCCAGGGGGAUCCUGAGGCUCAGAGGAUGGGGCCACCGUGCUAGUCACACAGCCUCUCUGUGGCCAAGCUGGGCCUCGGGCCAGCAGAUUCGGCCCCCAGCGGCCCCCAUUCACUGCCUCUCUGCUGAGGGAAAAGACGGGCCUGGGGAGCGGGUGGGAGGCACAAAGGAGACCCCGCUCUGAGACAGGCUGCAGAAGAGGGAGCUGGGUCUCAGCAGGGCUGGGGAAGGCUCUGGCCCCAGCCCUCCGCCCAACCCCCUGCCCUCCUCUCCUGGAGGAGAUGCUCCCCAAAUUAGCCAUCAUGAGCGCUGGCUCUGGGGGUUGGGCGUUGGGGAGCAGUUUGCUCAGCUGUAAAAUGGGAAUAACAGAAGCCGUCCCUGGGACUAUGAGAUCAAGGUGCUCAAGAAAAGUGGUGUCUGCUGAGGGGAAAAGCCAGUCCCAAAAGGUUGCAUACUCUCAUUCUGUUUAUUUGUUUUUGUUUUUGAGACAGGGUCUCGCCCUGUCACCCAGGCUGGAGUACAGUGGCGCAAUAUGGGCUCACUGCAACCUCCACCUCCUGGGCUCAAGUGAUCCUCCCAUCUCAGACCCUCAAGGAGCUGGGGCUACAGGCACGUGCCACCGUGUCCGGCUAAUUUUUGUAUUUUUUGUAGAGACAGGGUUUCACCAUGUUGCCCAGGCUGGUCUCAAACUCCUGAGCUCAGGUGAUCCGCCUGCCUUGGCCUGCGAUAAAAUUGCACAGAAGUAAAUACACACACGUGAGGAUACGGAAAACCGGGGAAACCUGAGCAAGAGCAGUCAGACCCCGGCUGUGAUGGCGCCCAGUAGUUCUGCGAGAUGUUACCAUUGGGGAAACUGAGUGAAGGCGGGUACCUGGGAUCCCUCUGUUUUCUUUUUUGUUGUUGUUGUUAUUUUGAGAUGAAGUUUCCCUCUUGUUGCCCAGGCUGGGUGAUCCACCUGCCUCGGCCUCCCAAAGUGCUGGGAUUACACGCGUGAGCCACUGUGCCCAGCCUCUCUGUUUUAUUUCUUCUUUUUUUUUUUUUUUUUUUGGAGACGCUCUGUCGCCCAGGCUGGAGUGCAGUGGCACGAUAUUGGCUCACUGCAAGCUCCGCCUCCUGGGUUCACACCAUUCUCCUGCCUCAGCCUCCCGAGUAGCUGGGACUACAGGCGCCCGCCACCUCGCCCGUCUAAUUUUUUGUAUUUUUAGUAGAGGCGGGGCUUCACCGUGUUAGCCAGGAUGGUCUCAAUCUCCUGACCUCGUCAUCCGCCCGUCUCGGCCUCCCAUAGUGCUGGGAUUACAGGCAUGAGCCACCACGCCCGGCUGUUUUAUUUCUUAUAACUGUACAGGAAUCUACAAUGAUUGUAACAAAAAUUUCAAUUAAGGCCACUCUAGGCACAUGGCCUGUGGGGUAGCCCUGCUCAACAAGAAGCCGUCAAAAAAAUGUUUUUUAAUUAAAAAAUUUCUUCAAUUAAAAAGCGUUAUCUUCCUCUGCCCGGAAAGGGUUAAGUGAGUCACUGCAGUUAGCUCCCCUUCCCCCACAACCACCUAGACCAGGCCAGGGACCAGCGGGCAAUUGCCUGGCAGCUGGAGUUUUCCUCCACUGUGGACUGUACUUCUUGCGUCACUCUGAAUGUCUCCAGUCUUUAUUCCAGAAUGUUCUGGUCCUCUCCCACUUUUCCAAGGACAGGAAUUCCCUAGUGGGGCUCCAGAAGAGGCUCUGGAGGAGAACAAGAAAGGCCCUUGUCAUCCAUUGGCCUCAGGCUGGGAAAUCUCGGUUCCACUCCCAGCCCAGCCUCAAUAUUAGGUUGUCAGUCUGGAGUCUGAGAGCCAUGCCCCCACCCCCUUAGUCCUUCACCUCCAGGAGAGUUGGGGAUACUGGAAAGAAUGUUGAGUGUCAGAGCCCCUCUCAGUGGCUCACGCCUGAAAUCCCAGCCCUUUGGGAGGCUGAGGCAGGUGGAUUGCUUGAGGCCAAGAGUUCAAGACCAGCCUGGCCAACGCGACGAAACCCUGACUCUACUAAAAAUACAAAAAUUAGCUGGGCGUGGUGGCACACACCUGUAAUCCCAGCAGCUCGGGAGGCUGAGGCAGGAGAAUUGUUUGAACCUGAGAGGUGGAGGUUGCAGUGAGCUGAGAUCACAACACUGCACUCAAAAAGUAGUUAAUUAAUUUAGUUUAAUUAAAAAAGAAUAUUGAGUGUCAGGCAAUCUGGGUAGAACCCAUUGUGUUUCUACAGGAUAGAAUCUGCUGUGUUCUCUAGCGGAACUUCCGGAUCACCUUCACCGUAUGACUCUAGACAAUCCCUGUCCACUCUUCAGUUUUAGAUGCCCCAUUCAAAGAAUGAAAGAAUUGUCCUAGAUGAUCCUUUAGGGUCUUCCAGGCUGAUGACAAGGGGGACCUGGCCCCUCUGCUGCUGGCCAAAGAGGACUUUACUUCCCAUUCCGUGUGGUUGAACAAGAAUUGCUGGGCUCCAGUCCUGCCUUUGGCCCUUCCCUACAUGUGACCUUGGGCCCUCUUUGCCUUUCAGAAUCAAUACAGUGAGAGAGUUAACACAAGCUCAGGUUAGUAAGUCAUUCAACAAACAUUUACUGAGCGCUUAUCAAAUACUGCAUGCUGGAGUGGACACUGGAGAAAAAGGUGAGGAGAAGGCCGGGCGCAGUGGCUCGUGACUGUAAUUCCAGCACUUUGAGGGGCAGAGGCAGGUGGAUUACCUGAGGUCAGGAGUUUGAGACCAGCCUGGCCAACAUGGCAAAACCCCGUCUCUACUAAAAAUACAAAUAUUAGCCAGGCAUGGUGGUGCAUAUCUGUAGUCCCAGCUACUCAGGAGGCUGAGCAGGAGAAUCACUUGAACUCAGGAGGUGGAGCGUGCAGUGGGCCGAGAUUGCACCUCUGCACUCCAGCCUGGGCAACAUAGUGAGACUCUGUCUCAAAUAAAUAAAUAAAGUGAGGAGAAAAAAAUACCAUCUCUGUCUUCACAGAACUUAUAGUUUGAGAGGGGAGAAUCCCACAAGUAAAUUAUAAAUCUCAGCUGAGAUUAUGCAAAGAAGCAAAGGCCGGACGUGGUGGCUCACGCCUGUAAUCCCAGCACUUUGGGAGGCCGAGACGGGCGGAUCAUGAGGUCAGGAGAUUGAGACCAUCCUGGCUAACACGGUGAAACCCUGUCUCUACUAAAAAUACAAAAAAAUUAGCUGGGCGUGGUGGCGGGCGUCUGUAGUUCCAGCUACUCGGGAGGCUGAGGCAGGAGGAUGGCGUGAACCCAGGAGCACAGGUUGCAGUGAGCCGAGAUGGCGCCACUGCACUCCAGCCUGGGCGACAGAGCGAGACUCUGUCUCAAAAAAAAAAAAAAAAAAGGAAGCAAAGUGCCCAGCUGGGAUGGUGGUUUCAGAGGCCACAGUGGGAGCUUCCCAGAGAAGGGAUGAUUGAGCUAAGUCUAAGCAAAAGGGGUGGUCAGGGCAGCAGCUGCUCCAAAACAGGGGCUGGGGGCUUAUGUGGAGAGAGAAGACAUGGAGAGACCAUGCCCAGAAGGAGGCGGCGGCUUCAGUGAACAGUGCAGGGGAGCAGGUCCGAGGAGGCCGCCUACCAGGGGAAGGAGUCUCAUCUCCAUCCUAGACAAAAAAAGGAUCUUUUGAGAUGCAUUAAGCAGGGGAGUCACAGAUUGGAUUUGUGUUUUGAGAAUCUCCUGCUUACCUAGAGAAGAAGGGCAUCUCCUGGGCCCUCACUGUUGCCUUAAAUGAUUUUUAUUGUGUAUUACUUAAACAUGUGCAAGCAUAAAAUGAGAUAUAAACUCCUUGUAGCUCUUAUACAAGCAUCAGACCAAGACAAAUUGACCCAUCACGUACAAAAUCGAUUCAAAUCAGAUUAAUUUUAUGUGACAUGUUAUUAUGCCUUUUGUCUGAAACCCUGCCACCACCCACAGUGCAAUUAUGGCCCAACCACUGUGGUGUUCUGAAUUUGUGGGACAGAGAAUAUUGGCCUUUUAAACACGUGCAUGCAUGCAUUUGCGUGUGCGCACACACACACAUCCCAAAUGAUUUUUUCCCACUAUAUAUGAAGAACUCCUACAAACCAAAAAGAAAAAGGCAGACAAUUCAAGAGAAAAAUGGGGGAGGGCUUGCAUUAAAGUACUUCAUAACAAGAGUACUUAGGAGGCCAACAAAUACACGAAAAGCUGCUAGCUUCAUGACUCAUGGGGGUGGCUUGGUCAGUUCAGGAUACUGUAACAAAAUACCUUAGACUGGGAAAUUUAUAAACAACGGAAUUUAUUGCUCACAGUUCUGGAGGCUGGGAAGUCCAAGAUCAAGGCAGCAGUAGAUCCGGUGCCUGAGCCCGUUCCCUGCUUCAAACAUGGCACCUUCUUGCUGUAUCCUCACAUGGUGGAAGGGGGAAGACAGUUCUCUGGGGCCUCUUUUAUAAGGGCAGUUAUCCAAUUCACAAGGAUAGAGCCCUCAUGACCUAAUCACCUUUCAAAGAUCCCCAUCUUCUAACACCUUCUAACACCAUCACCUUGGUGAUUAGGUCUUUUUGUUGUUGUUGUUGUUGAGAUGGACUCUCACUCUGUUGCCUAGGCUGGAGUGCAGUGGCGUAAUCUUGGUUCACUGCAACCUCUGCCUCCCGGGCUGAAGUGAUUAUCCUGUCUCAGCCUCCCAAGUGGCUGGGAUUACAGGCGUGUGCCACCAUGCCCGGCUAAUUUUCAUAUUUUUAGUAGAGACAGGGUUUCACCAUGUUGGUCAGGCUGGUCUCGAACUCCUGACCUCAUGAUCCGCCCACUUCGUCCUCCCAAAAUGCUGGGAUUACAGGCAUGAGCCACUGCACCCAGCCGAUUAAGUCUUAACGUAUGAGUUUUUGGGAGAAACUCAAACAUUCGGACAAUAGCAAGGAGAAUACAAAACCACAGUGAGCUACCGCUUCAGACACCAGAGAAGUUUAAGUGAAAAAGACUGGCAAUACCAAGUGCUGAUGAGGAUAUGGAGCAACCAGAACUCUCAGACAUUGCUGAUGGGAAUCUAAAUUAGUAUAACCACCACGAAAGCAUCCGUAAGGUUUAAUUGUGUUGAACACACCCUGCCCUCUGACCAAGCAUUUCCACUCCUGGGCAUACAGGCAAAAGAAAUGCAUCCACGUGUUCAUCAAAAGAUGUAACCUGUGCCAGGUGAGGUGGUUCAUGCCUGUAAUCCCAGCACAUCGGGAGGCCAAGGAGGGAGGAUUGCUUGAGCCCAGAAGUUCGAGAGCAGCCUAGGCAACAAGGCAAAACCUCGUCUCUACUAAAAAGUAGCCAGGCAUGAUGGUAUAUGCCUGUAGUCCCAGCUACUCAGGAGGCCAAGGCAUGCAGAUUGAUUGAACCCGGAAGGUGGAGGCUACAGUGAAUUGUGAUCUCGCCACUGCACUCCAGCCUGGGUGACAGAGCAAGAUCUUGUCUCAAUUAAAAAAAAAGGAAGAAAGAAAGACAUAACCUGGAAUAUUCACACCAACACUAUUCAGGAUAGCCCUAAACUGGAAAGAAUCUGAAUAUCCUCCGGCUUUAGAACAGAGAGAAAUUAUAGACUAUUCAUUCAUACAGGGGAUGAUUGAUCAGCUUUAAGAAUAAACAAACCGUACACAACAAUAUAGAUGAAUCUACAACCUUAAUGUGCAAAAUAGUUCACAUAUAUAAAGGACAAAAACAGGCAAAACUACUCCAUGGUGUUAGAAAUAGGGGUAGAGGUUACCCUCAUGCGGCAGGAGGGUUAGUGAUAGGGGAUUUGGAAGAGGAGGAGCCCAAUGGACUGAACAGCUGAGCUGGAAACAGCAAUUUGUUCCUUAAAGUUCUGAACCCAACUGUUAUCCAGCAUGGAGUCUGUCUGGAGAGGCCAGAUGUGGGGCCUCUCACAGGGGAAUGAGAAGUGCCUCUCAGGGUCCCACCCAUGAUCCCCCUUUCCUUGCCCACACAACCACCAACUGGCAAGUAGUAACCCAGGACCUGUAGCCCCCACUGGCUUGACACAGAGCAUAAUGCAAGCUUUUCCUGCUCCAGGUCCUGGACACCACUUUGCCCUUUGCCCCACACGUACAGCCCCCUGACCAAAAGCUGGGUACUCUGGCUUGACUAGAGGGAGCUAGACUCCAGGAAUAAGUAAGGAGCUGGGCUUCCACGCUAGAGAACAAGAGCUUCUCUGGGGAAAGGGGCUUCCCAUGAAGCCCUGGGGCACUGGGAGAUUAAUGGGCAGACCUCUGGCCUCAGCUUCCAGGGAAGGGGAGGGUGUGGGCCAACAUGCGGUGGCUACACUGACCACAAGCCGAUGACCCCAGCCAGCCUCAGGAUGUCUCAGCUCUAGGCAUGGUUUUUCGUUUUGUUUUGUCGUGUUUUGUUUUUGAGAUGGAACCUCGCUCUGUCGCCUAGGCUGGAGUGAAGUGGCACCAUCUCGUCUCCCUGCAACCUCCACCUCCUGGGUUCAAGCGAUUCUCCUGCCUCAGCCUCCUGAGUAGCUGAGAUUACAUGUGCGUGCCACCUUGCCCAGCUAAUUUUUGUAUUUUUAGUAGAGAUAGGGUUUCAUCAUGUUAGCUAGGCUGGUCUCAAACUCCUGACCUCAAGUGAUCUGCCUGCCUCAGCCUCCCAAAGUGCAAGGAUUACAGGCAUGAGCCACCAUGCCCGGCAUAGGCAUGGUUUUGACAAUCUGUCUCUUUGUGCCCUGGCUCCUUCUCCAACUCCUCUUUGGAGGAGGCACAGGAGGAGGGGUCAUUUCACUGUUCCUGAAAAGUAGACAUAUAACCUACAUGCAACUGCCAGGUGAUAAGGGCCCCAUCUGUCUGGCAUGACGUUGGAGGUCCACAAAGGCUGAUUAGAUGAAUGCUCAGCUCUGGGGCCUCCCCACAGAGCUCACAGACAGGCGUGAAGGAAAGCAGGACUCUUAUUAGAAUAUGUUCAGAGUUUUCACUGAAGAAGCCUCCUGUGUGGGCCAGGCACUGUGCUCAGUGCUUUGAUUCACAGUCUCAUUUAAUUCUCACCAUUUACAGACAAGAAUUCAGCUAAGAUCCUUUUCAAUCAAGUCUGGCAAUAUCUGCCUUUCAAUGGCAGUGCCUAGUCCUUUCAUAUGUAAUAUACUUAUCAUUAUGGGUGGGUUUAAGUUUUAUCAUCUUGCUAUUUGUUAUCUAUUUGUCCCCCCUCUUUUGUUCCUCCUUUACUGCCUUCUAUUUGGUUGAGACUUAAUAAAAUAUUUUAUUCCAUCUUCUCUACUUACUUUUUAGCUAUGCCUCCUUAUAUUUUUGGUUGCUGGAGUGUUACAAUAUGCAUUCUUCAAUAUCCAGUCUACUUUCCAAUAAUAUUACACCACUUCAUGUAUAACGUAAGAACGUUACAAAAAUAUAAUGCCAGGGCUGGGCGCAGUGGCUCACGCCUGUAAUCCCAGCACUUUGGGAGGUCGAGGCGGGCAGCUCACCUGAGGUCAGGAGUUCGAGACCAGCCUGACCAACAUGGAGGAACCCCAUCUCUACUAAAAAUACAAAAUUAGCCGGGCAUGGUGGCUCAUGCCUGUAAUCCCAGCUACUCAGGAGGCUGAGGCAGGAGAGUUGCUUGAACCGGGGAGGUGGAAGUUGCAAUGAGCCAAGAUUGCGCCGUUGCACCCCACACUGGGCAACAAGAGCGAAACUCCGUCUCAAUAAAUAAAUAAAUUAAAUAAACAAAUAUAUAUAUAUAUAUAUAUGUAAUGCCAUCACAUCUUCUCCGGCCUUUGGUGUUAUUGUGGUCAUAUACUUUAUUUUUGUAUGUCUUAUAGAUCCCAG
Molecule: long non-coding RNA, 9616 nt
Filed under: Homo sapiens (human)
Lineage: Eukaryota; Metazoa; Chordata; Mammalia; Primates; Hominidae
Description: PREDICTED lncRNA (TCONS_00263013)
Source: RNAcentral